Long non-coding RNA from Rattus norvegicus (Norway rat), 1471 nucleotides. Ensembl lists it as uncharacterized. Lineage: Eukaryota; Metazoa; Chordata; Mammalia; Rodentia; Muridae. The record is from Ensembl.
CCUUGUUCCUAUUCACUUGUGGGAGUGAUCUAUGGCUGUUGUGCAUUAGACAAUCAGGCAGCCCAGGGACCUGCAAAUGCCAUGGCCACCUAGGCUGAGUGUGGCAGAGGCUAGGAGGCAGGAGAGAUAGUUAGCAGAUGUGACUGGAACCCGACGCUUUAAGCCUGUCUCCAAACUACCCUACCGAACCAACCGAUUUCAUCCAGGCACAGCCUUUCACUGCUUCAGCCUCAGCACCUCAGCUGGAGUCAUUCAGGGGUUGUUCAGUUGAGACCUGUUGCUAAGGGACAAAGAGGCAAAAAGAAUUCAACAAAUAGUCAACCACAGGCCAAGAUCUGUGGUGUUUACUUACAGAAGUAUGCUCAGACCAGAUGACCAGAGACAUGCCAACCCAAGGGGACUUGGAAUUUCUGGAUUUGGAAGGCCACAAGACUCUAGAGAGAAAAGUGCCAAAGAGCUUCUCAUGGUGUACCAGCUGCUUCUUCCUGGUUCAGCAGACCCAUGCCAUUCAGAGGAGCCUUGCAGUUUCUUCUGGAUCAAGCCGCUGCUACUGAUUUAUGUUUGGUAUUUUGGACUGGACUGUUGUUCUGACAACAAAGACUGGAAUCGACCUAGAGAAUUACUUCUAAACAGGACCACAUCCCCCAUCGCCCAUUAAUCUUUCUUUUCCCUACCUCUGGUAGAUUGGCUAGAAGGGAGGUUGAAGAGUUUAAAAUUCCUUAUUAAAGUAGGUUUUGAAAAACCUAAACCUACAAAUUAUGAUUUAACUGGAAAUUUCAGAUGCAGGAAAAUUAAAAGAAAAACAAAACAAAACCUACAACCCCGGAUGUUUUGACUACGAACCUGCAGAAUUUAAUUUGUGUCAACAUUAUUUGGGUUACAAAAAAACAUGAUAGAGUUUGUGAAGCAAGAGUGAGUCGUGUCUGAAAAGGAAGUCAUUUUUAGCAUUCUGACAGGAGGAUGUGGUCUUCCAAAGUUAGAAAACUGUCACUUUUGGUAAAUGGAGCAACUAGCUUCCAGAGGAAAGGUCUUGAGUUGUUAGACAGGAAUUCUGAGUUCAAGUCCUAGGAUCUCCUUUGCUGAAGCAUUUGGACAAGUACCUUAUGUCUCUGAUUUUCAGUUGUUGUUGUUGUUUUGUAAGGGAGGGGUGAUUUUUCUCAAGACAGGGUUUCUCUGAGUAGCCCUGGCCAUCUCAGAACUCACUUUGUAGACCAGGAAACUAUGUGCAGAUCUGCCUGCCUGCUACCGCCUCUUGGAGCUCUGGGAUUAAAGGCAUGUGUCACCUCGUCUGGCUUGCAUUUCGGCUUCCUUGAUAAUGUGGUAGGCAAGAUUCUAUCAGCAAUUUUGUGUGUCCUUUUCUGUGUUUGUGAUUGUGUGCUGUGUGCGUGAGUACGAGACAGUGCGUGUGAGUGGGAUGUGCAUGUGGCACCACAGAGAUCAGAAGUCAAUGUCAGCUGUCUUCCUCCAUUUC